Molecule: ribosomal RNA, 508 nt
Filed under: uncultured bacterium
Lineage: Bacteria
Description: bacterial SSU rRNA
Rfam family: Bacterial small subunit ribosomal RNA
Source: RNAcentral
GAGUUUGAUCGUGGCUCAGAUUGAACGCUGGCGGCAGGCCUAACACAUGCAAGUCGAGCGGUAGAGAGAAGCUUGCUUCUCUUGAGAGCGGCGGACGGGUGAGUAAUGCCUAGGAAUCUGCCUGGUAGUGGGGGAUAACGCUCGGAAACGGACGCUAAUACCGCAUACGUCCUACGGGAGAAAGCAGGGGACCUUCGGGCCUUGCGCUAUCAGAUGAGCCUAGGUCGGAUUAGCUAGUUGGUGAGGUAAUGGCUCACCAAGGCGACGAUCCGUAACUGGUCUGAGAGGAUGAUCAGUCACACUGGAACUGAGACACGGUCCAGACUCCUACGGGAGGCAGCAGUGGGGAAUAUUGGACAAUGGGCGAAAGCCUGAUCCAGCCAUGCCGCGUGUGUGGAGAAGGUCUUCGGAUUGUAAAGCACUUUAAGUUGGGAGGAAGGGCAGUAAAUUAAUACUUUGCUGUUUGACGUUACGACAGAAUAAGCACCGGCUAACUCUGUGCCAGCCG